CCUUUGCGCGGUCCAGUCUCGCGCUUAUCCCUCUCCCGCUCCGCUUCCCCGGCCUCCCUCCCCACUACAAUUGCAGACCCCGCCCUUACUGCCAUGAGAGCACCAGUUUGGCGGGAGCGGUGCUUCCUGGCGUGGAGGGGAACUUGAGGUCCUAUUCAUUUGCUUGGUCCUCUGGGUCCUGUCUUUUGUACGGCAAAGACUCAUCUAAUAUAUCUCUUUGGGCUGAGUUCCAGGGACUGGCCUGAAGAAUCCUUAAUUAAAACAAUUCCUUAUGGUGGACAAAGGUGGACUCUGUAAUUACAAUAGUGCAGUCAUAGUCCAUUACAUUGCUAUACCACAGUUUAUUCAUCUGUUUCCCGGUCGUUGGACAUAUGACAGGACUGAAACUGAGAGCAUGGAGUCUGUUCCGAAGUGGGAAAUUUCUGAAGAAGUCCAAUCACAGGGCAUAUUAUCAUCAGGAUUCCCAAGGAACAUUCUCAUGGGUCCCAACUGUGGACAAGCCUCUGGCAGUGAUUGUAGGUUAGAGACACAGCCUAAAAAGCCACUGCGACACAGUCUCUCGUUAUCUUUCUCAGGAAAAAGGUUUCAGGCAUAUAACAUUUAGCAGAAGAGUGUCCUCACUGGGGAGAGAGGCUGUGUAUGUUAUCGAAUGUGAGACAAUUUUAAAACCCUCUUACAUAAGAGAGAUCCUGUAGAAGGGAGUGCCCAGGAAUAUGGUUUAUAUGACCACAGCUUCAAGCAGGAUGCAGUUUUUAAGAUGACAGAGAGAAACUCUAUGAAACGAAUCUGGGGAGAAAAAAAACCAAACAACCUCCUACAAAGUUAAAUCAGAACUUAUUCAUCAUCAGGAAAUACAUAGGACAGAGAAACCUAUUGAGUGUAAUGAAUGUGAGAAAGGACCGACUCAAACCAUAUCAGAACCCCAGAAAAUUCAUACUAAAAAGAGACCUUGUGACUCUAAAGACUAGAAGAGUCUCCAGCAGGAGCUCAUCUGACGUUAAACAUCAGAGAAUCUACAGUGAAAUUAAAUCCUAGAAAUUUAAUGAGUGUGGAGAAACCUUUAGCAGUAGCGUUUUGAAUACGAGAGAAUUGAAUUGACAGUGGAGAGAAACUCUGUGAAGAUAAUGGAUGUGGGAAAGCCUUCUAUCAAUUCAAACCUCAUUAGAUAUCAGAAUUUACAUGGAGCCCCGUGAAUGUAAAUAAUGUGGGAAGCUCUUCAAGUAGAGUUCAGCAUGCCUUGAUCAGAAAAUUCAAGCUAGAUUGACUUUCUGUGUAAUGAAUAUGGGAAAGCCUUCAUGGAGCACAUCUUGAUUGCACUUAAGAUAAGUCAUAUUUGAGAAAUAUCCUAUGAAGGGAAAGAAUGUUGGAAAAUCUUCAGGUAGAUCUUUGAUGCUAUUAAAUAUCAGAGUGGAAAGAAACCCUUAUGAAUGUAAACAGUGUGUUUAAGGCUUCAACUAGAGCUUGGACCUCAUUCAGCAUCAGAAAAUUCAAACCUGAUAUUUGAACCUUUGAAUGCAAUUAAUAUAGGAAUGAGAUCUACAGAUUUGUUGCAUCUCAAAGUAUCCAGACUAGCACUAGAUUUUAUAAAACUUUGAAAUUAAAGACCCUGAUAUUGCCAGGGUAAAAGACUAGAACCUACUACGAGUUUCUUUCUUGAAUCAACUGCUCUCCCUAAGCACUCUUACCACAGUGAGCCCUGUAGAAGCUGCCUUCCCUGCAUAUUAUCAAGUUGAUGACCUCGAACAUAUGAAACAACCCUUUCAAGCCUCUUGAAGAAGUCAUACCCCCAUCAGCUUAGCUCUUACCUAUUGACCACCUCUCUUUUUAGUCUGACCUGCCUUGUUCUUUUUCCCAACAACAACAACAACAAGAACAACAACAAAGCACCAGGUUUGGACCCGUGCUCCACCCACAUCCACAGAGGCUCCUCCUAGCUCAAGCCAAGGAUGGGGAAGGGUGUCACAAUGUUGGGAAAACUUUUGACUCAGUAUCUUUGAUUAUCAACUUUGUGCUAUUGCUGUCUUGGGUUUGGGGUAGUGCCUAUCUAUGCGUGCCUUUUGGGAUGUUUGGGAGUUGGGCAAGUUUUAUGAGAUUGUUUAGAUACCUGUUACUGCAGUUUUGUGUUCCAUCUUGUGUUUUGGCAAAGGUUUGUGUAGACCUUCCUUAACGUAGAUCUAAGCCCUCACCUUUUACUAAGAAAAGAUACUUUAUUUUCUUGUUUUCUUGGGUGAUCAGAAACUAGAGGGCAAGGGAUCAAGGAAGGGGAGGGAGCUUUGAAUUUGGAAAGUUUACUGGCACUGGAAUGACAAUAUGGAUGUAUUUAAUGCUGGAAGUUCAGGACAAUCAGGGUUGAACCCCUGUGCCCUGUAUAGGUGGGGCACACCCUAGCUUGAGAAACCCUAGAUUGAGUUGGUAGCUAUACGAGCGACAUGUAUCCAUAUAUACAUGUGUAUGUGGAUAUAUGUAUAUAUAGAUACACCUGUAUAUAUGUGUGUGUGUGUGUGUG
This is a non-coding RNA of Phascolarctos cinereus (koala), 2506 nucleotides long. The record is from RefSeq and is a predicted model, not a curated record. Lineage: Eukaryota; Metazoa; Chordata; Mammalia; Diprotodontia; Phascolarctidae.